This 478-nucleotide ribosomal RNA is filed under the name uncultured bacterium. Its description in RNAcentral is "partial 16S ribosomal RNA". It matches the Rfam family "Bacterial small subunit ribosomal RNA", at positions 28 to 523 of the family's 1533-position model. The record is from RNAcentral.
GACGAACGCUGGCGGCGUGCUUAACACAUGCAAGUCGAACGGUAAGGCCCUUCGGGGUACACGAGUGGCGAACGGGUGAGUAACACGUGGGUGAUCUGCCCUGCACUUCGGGAUAAGCCUGGGAAACUGGGUCUAAUACCGGAUAGGACCCUGGGAUGCAUGUCCUGGGGUGGAAAGCUUUUGCGGUGUGGGAUGGGCCCGCGGCCUAUCAGCUUGUUGGUGGGGUGAUGGCCUACCAAGGCGACGACGGGUAGCCGGCCUGAGAGGGUGACCGGCCACACGGGGACUGAGAUACGGCCCAGACUCGUACGGGAGGCAUCAGGGGGGAAUAUUGCACAAUGGGCGCAAGCCUGAUGCAGCGACGCCGCGUGAGGGAUGACGGCCUUCGGGUUGUAAACCUCUUUCAGCACCGACGAAGCGCAAGUGACGGUAGGUGCAGAAGAAGGACCGGCCAACUACGUGCCAGCAGCCGCUGUAA